RNAcentral lists this ribosomal RNA (464 nucleotides) under Pseudomonas syringae pv. pisi. RNAcentral's name for it is "bacterial SSU rRNA". It matches the Rfam family "Bacterial small subunit ribosomal RNA", at positions 9 to 472 of the family's 1533-position model. Lineage: Bacteria; Pseudomonadati; Pseudomonadota; Gammaproteobacteria; Pseudomonadales; Pseudomonadaceae. The record is from RNAcentral.
GAGUUUGAUCCUGGCUCAGAUUGAACGCUGGCGGCAGGCCUAACACAUGCAAGUCGAGCGGCAGCACGGGUACUUGUACCUGGUGGCGAGCGGCGGACGGGUGAGUAAUGCCUAGGAAUCUGCCUGGUAGUGGGGGAUAACGCUCGGAAACGGACGCUAAUACCGCAUACGUCCUACGGGAGAAAGCAGGGGACCUUCGGGCCUUGCGCUAUCAGAUGAGCCUAGGUCGGAUUAGCUAGUUGGUGAGGUAAUGGCUCACCAAGGCGACGAUCCGUAACUGGUCUGAGAGGAUGAUCAGUCACACUGGAACUGAGACACGGUCCAGACUCCUACGGGAGGCAGCAGUGGGGAAUAUUGGACAAUGGGCGAAAGCCUGAUCCAGCCAUGCCGCGUGUGUGAAGAAGUCUUCGGAUUGUAAAGCACUUUAAGUUGGGAGGAAGGGCAGUUACAUAAUACGUGAUUGU